RNAcentral lists this transfer RNA (78 nucleotides) under Eudoraea sp. RNAcentral's name for it is "tRNA-Arg". The stretch from base 9 to 78 matches the Rfam family "tRNA". Rfam says of the family: Transfer RNA (tRNA) molecules are approximately 80 nucleotides in length. Their secondary structure includes four short double-helical elements and three loops (D, anti-codon, and T loops). Lineage: Bacteria; Pseudomonadati; Bacteroidota; Flavobacteriia; Flavobacteriales; Flavobacteriaceae. The record is from RNAcentral.
AGCCCCGAUGUCCCGAUAAUUAUCGGGAGGGGGAAGUUUCCUAAACUUUAGAUGCAAGUUCGAUUCUUGCCGGGGCUA